CCUACGGGCGGCAGCAGUGGGGAAUAUUGGACAAUGGGGGCAACCCUGAUCCAGCCAUGCCGCGUGUGUGAAGAAGGCCCUCGGGUUGUAAAGCACUUUCAGUGAGGAAGAACGCCUGGUGGUUAAUACCCAUCAGUAAAGACAUCACUCACAGAAGAAGCACCGGCUAACUCCGUGCCAGCAGCCGCGGUAAUACGGAGGGUGCGAGCGUUAAUCGGAAUUACUGGGCGUAAAGCGCGCGUAGGUGGCUUGAUAAGCCGGUUGUGAAAGCCCCGGGCUCAACCUGGGAACGGCAUCCGGAACUGUCAAGCUAGAGUGCAGGAGAGGAAGGUAGAAUUCCCGGUGUAGCGGUGAAAUGCGUAGAGAUCGGGAGGAAGACCAGUGGCGAAGGCGGCCUUCUGGACUGACACUGACACUGAGGUGCGAAAGCGUGGGUAGCACACAGGAUUAGAUACCCUAGUAGUC
This 465-nucleotide ribosomal RNA is filed under the name Vreelandella stevensii. Its description in RNAcentral is "partial 16S ribosomal RNA". It matches the Rfam family "Bacterial small subunit ribosomal RNA", at positions 338 to 795 of the family's 1533-position model. Lineage: Bacteria; Pseudomonadati; Pseudomonadota; Gammaproteobacteria; Oceanospirillales; Halomonadaceae. The record is from RNAcentral.